RNAcentral lists this ribosomal RNA (273 nucleotides) under uncultured soil bacterium. RNAcentral's name for it is "partial 16S ribosomal RNA". It matches the Rfam family "Bacterial small subunit ribosomal RNA", at positions 26 to 310 of the family's 1533-position model. The record is from RNAcentral.
AGAUUGAACGCUGGCGGCAUGCCUAACACAUGCAAGUCGAACGGGAGUAGCAAUACUCUAGUGGCGGACGGGUGAGGAAUACGUAGGAAUUUGCCCUUAAGUGGGGGAUAACCCGGGGAAACCCGGAUUAAUACCGCAUGACCUCGAAAGAGCAAAGUGGGGGAUCGCAAGACCUCACGCUUUUGGAGAAGCCUACGUCGGAUUAGCUAGUUGGUGAGGUAAUGGCUCACCGAAGGCGACGAUCCGUAACUGGUCUGAGAGGAUGAUCAGUCA